AUCAUGCCCAACAAGUGGGAACAAUAUUUUUCAAGACGCCACGGAAAUGCAAUGUGUUUGGUGUAUGUUGUGAGGGUUCAGAAAAACAAGUGUUCUACUUGAUUGAUGAGGCUGAGAACACAAGGAAGGGUGCUAAUUCUGUCAUAAGUAUGGUUCAACACUUUUUUCAACACCAUAAUAUAUGGAGAAAAAACAGCAUCCAUUCAUUUUGACAACUGCAGCGGGCAAAACAAAAACAAAUUUGUCUUAUGGUAUGCUCUCUGGAGAGUUCUUGUUUGACUCCAUAUCAUUGUGGAAUAUUUUGUGAUGGUGGCAGGACACACUAAAUUUGAUCCUGAUUGGCAUUUUGGAGUCUGGAAAGUAAAAUGGUGUUCCUCUACAGCAGAAACCAUGAAAUCAAUGAUACAGCAGACACAGUCCGUCAUUCAUCCCGCAGAGGCCAUAACAUUCCUCAGCUCAUGUCAGAUCCACAAACACCUGUGCAAUUUAGGGACUGGAAGUUCUUCAAACCCUUGAAAAACAUUUGAGGCUAUAAUCAUCAUUUCCGAGUAAGUGCUGAGACUCCUGGUGCUGUUGAAUGUAAGGAGCUCUGUAAUUCUGUUCCUUUGUGUGUUAAUCUCCUGAAAGAUCAGUAUAUUCUUCCCUCCAUAAAUGAUCCUCUGCCUCAAGAAAUCCCAGCACCUGGUCUUGAGCCCAAGAGGCAAUGGAAUCUAUAUGAGGAAAUCUGUGAAAAUUGUCUAUCACUCUCUGCUAAAGAAACAUCAUGUCCAAAACCAGUUGUACCAAAGAAAGAGAUGAAAGUUUAUUCACCUGAUCAUUCUGUCACACUUUUGGAAAAGGAAAAGUCUUCUCCUUAGAUGAAAGGGAGGAUUAUUGUGUAUGAGAAAG
Long non-coding RNA from Saccostrea echinata, 888 nucleotides. RefSeq lists it as uncharacterized. The transcript is spliced from 3 exons. Lineage: Eukaryota; Metazoa; Mollusca; Bivalvia; Ostreida; Ostreidae. The record is from RefSeq and is a predicted model, not a curated record.